This 252-nucleotide ribosomal RNA is filed under the name uncultured bacterium. RNAcentral's name for it is "partial 16S ribosomal RNA". It matches the Rfam family "Bacterial small subunit ribosomal RNA", at positions 524 to 776 of the family's 1533-position model. The record is from RNAcentral.
UACGUAGGGUGCAAGCGUUAUCCGGAAUUAUUGGGCGUAAAGAGCUCGUAGGCGGUUUGUCACGUCUGCUGUGAAAACUGGAGGCUCAACCUCCAGCCUGCAGUGGGUACGGGCAGACUAGAGUGCGGUAGGGAGAUUGGAAUUCCUGGUGUAGCGGUGGAAUGCGCAGAUAUCAGGAGGAACACCGAUGGCGAAGGCAGAUCUCUGGGCCGUAACUGACGCUGAGGAGCGAAAGCAUGGGGAGCGAACAGG